This is a long non-coding RNA of Pyrus x bretschneideri (Chinese white pear), 2353 nucleotides long. RefSeq lists it as uncharacterized. The transcript has 7 exons. NCBI's taxonomy places the organism in Eukaryota, Viridiplantae, Streptophyta, Magnoliopsida, Rosales, Rosaceae. The record is from RefSeq and is a predicted model, not a curated record.
UCCAAAUCCCAAUUGGAUUUCCAAGCAAUCUGUAAGUGACUAGGAGACCACAUUAAUUAGGCAUCAUUGGGAUUUCUCCCAAUAGGUGCGGCUUUAGGAAAUAAAAAUAUAUUCCAACAGAGUACUUGUUCUACUUGUUCAUUACCAACUCCAAACAAGAAAAUGUUGGGAUUGGAAAAUGAUGGCAGAGAUGACAGGGUAGAGUAGUAAUGGAGGAAAUGCAAGACUACAUGUGGAGAUCAUCAUAGUUGCCGUCAGGUGACCUGCAGAGCGACAAAGAUUUGUUGGAUACUUUCUCAGAUGUGGAUGGCUUCAUUGAAGAGCUAAGGUACUGGAUUUCCUUCACUUCAUCCAUCGUCAUCUACCUUAGUGAUGAGCAUACCUAUCCACAUGGACAUCAAGACUUAAAACAAAAUUUAAGUUAAAGACAUUUAACCACAGUAGUGAUAAAUAAAAUUUUAAAAUGUCUUUAAAGCUUAUGGUCCCUCCUUAGCGAGAAUACGAAUAUCCAUUAGGCUUCUAUUGAAAGCUUCCUCUCGAGUAUUCGGAUCAAAUCAGAACGAAGAGCCUGCAACUGGAGGGUUUCGAGUGGCAAAACCUCCAAAGUCUAAAACCCUAGUGAGAGAGAGAAGCGGGUGUUUUGGGUUUAUUUCUUUCCUCUUGGUGGAGUUCGCAGAUCACCCCUUUGCUGGUGUGGAGGAAAGUUCAAAAUUUGUGCAGUCCACAUGUUCGACGAAAUGACAGCUCAAGAUUUUUGUGAAGGAAACUCUGGUGUUCGAAUUUUGGGGCAUAAAUCCACCAAACAGAUAAUCAUUUUCCAGAGCUGACCGUAAGAGAAACAUUGGAUUUUACAGCUAGAUGUCAAGAUGCAAGUGAAGCCUAUGCAGCAUUCAUGAAUGAUUUGGUACGGUUAGAGAGGGAAAGGAACAUAAGGCCGGAUCCAGAAAUUGAUGCAUUUAUGAAGAGUUUGCAAUUGGGGUGUGUAUACGCGUGUUCUUUAUGCUGUCCCUGAAACAUGUGAUCAUGUUUACCUUUUUGAUAAUGACCAUGAUGAUGCAAAAGAUAUCUACAGGAAAUCCAUGCGUUACAGAUUCCCAUAUGAUCAGAGUGGUCGACUUAUCUUGGAGUAGAAGACACGUUCAUGAGGCAGCACAGAGGAAAAUCCUUCCCGCUUCUUCCAUGCUCUGGGUUCGCAACCUCUGCUGCUUCCAGCUCCAAACUCGGAUCCGAAGGCCUCAUGGGUAUCUUCUCUGAUAUUAGAGGCUGUUACUUAGUGCUCUACGCUGAAUGACCUAUUUUUGAGAAAGGAAUGGAUUACUUUCAGGCAUUUUCCAUAUACAAUUGGAUCAUGAUAAUAUUUUGAUGCAUUUCAAUUUAUUCCACAUGUGAAUAGUUUUGAAUUCAAAGUUUAGUUGGUGGACUGCUCCCACUCAUGUCUGUCUGCUAAAAUUAAGAAUGGAAAUAUCACUGAUAAACCUUGGAGCCUCAGGGUCACUCUUUCUCUCCUCGCUCACUCUUCCUCUUUCUCUUCUCUGCGUUCUUCCUCUGCUCUCCUCUCUCUUCGCUCCCCAUAUCUCUCUGUUUGGUAUGAUUAUGUCUCUUAACAAGCAUUAAUAAACAGAACGAUUUCGAUCAAUAAUUUUAUUCGGUCAUGAUUCAAACUCCCAUUGUAGAUCAAACUAUAAGUCAAGCUACCCAUUGCAGAGCAAACUAUGAGUCAAACCCCCAUUUCAGGACAAACUGGGAAGGAGGAGGCGCAAUAGGGCAUGGCUAUUUCCGGGGCAUCGGUCGUUUUGAGAUUCUGGUAACAUUUAUAUAAGCUAGCUUAUUUUUAGACCAUUGUUUAGGUGUACAUAAUUGUUUAAUGGCUUUGUACCUUUCCAUUUUGUCAGCUAUAGAUGUUCUAAAAGAUACACAUACCCCUCCACGGAGAAUCAAGUUCAUUAGUUUACAUUAUGUAUCAUUUUUGUAAUGUAAGAAACCACCACCAUCUAAAAGUUUUAGUGAAGUUGUAUUUUAAAGUCAGGUUGGUAGGACAAGUUGCUAUAUAUAUGUUUAAAAAGUUUUCAACUUCGAAUUUUGUGAUGUGUGAUUGCAGAGCAAGGAGAAAGUGACCCCGAUUAGCUCCAAGCUUGCAGUAAACUUUUCUUUUUGUUCAAGGAACCCAGAAGAGUCUUGAAUUCAGUUUCCAAACUCGGACUGAAAAUGGAACUUGGUGCUAUUAAGCUAUCAUCCUCAGCCCUCAGAAUUCAGGUAGCCCCAUGACUAUUACAUUGCUGUUUUGUUUUAUGUACUAAUUAUUGUUCUAUGAAUUGUAUUCUUCAGUUAAUAAUAAUUCAUCCUCCUUUCCCAU